GAUGAAGAACGUAGCGAAAUGCGAUAAGUAAUGUGAAUUGCAGAAUUCAGUGAAUCAUCGAAUCUUUGAACGAACAUUGCGCCCGCCAGUAUUCUGGCGGGCAUGCCUGUUCGAGCGUCAUUUCAACCAUCAAGCCCCCGGCUUGUGUUGGGGACCUGCGGCUGCCGCAGGCCCUGAAAAGCAGUGGCGGGCUCGCUGUCACACCGAGCGUAGUAGCAUACAUCUCGCUCUGGGCGUGCUGCGGGUUCCGGCCGUUAAACCACCUUCAUAACCCAAGGUUGACCUCGGAUCAGGUAGGAAGACCCGCUGAACUUAAGCAUAUCAAUAAGCGGAGGA
This 336-nucleotide unclassified non-coding RNA is filed under the name soil metagenome. RNAcentral's name for it is "partial contains 5.8S ribosomal RNA, internal transcribed spacer 2, and large subunit ribosomal RNA". The stretch from base 1 to 120 matches the Rfam family "5.8S ribosomal RNA", at positions 35 to 154 of the family's 154-position model. The record is from RNAcentral.